AUGGAUCGGAUGAUGCAUCUAAACCAGCACCACCAAUGGAGCAACCAACCAGACGCCGGAACGGCUAAUGGCACGGGCACCAGCGCUAGCGUCAGUACUGUCUCGCAGGUCGCCUUCGUGCUCGCCGCCGUUGCUUUCCUCUCCUUGUUCUCCUCGUCCUUGGCCUCUUCCCCUCUCCCUUCUGGUGCCGCCAUAUCUGCUCGCCUUGCGGCUUUGUGCGGCUUUGUCACGACCACGAAGGCGCUCUUCGUCCUUUCCAAUGCAAUCUUUCUCUUCCUCGCCUUCGAUUGCCGUUGCUGCUUCUUCUCCGGCGUCUGCGGCGUGGCCACCCCGUCCACGAGCGACGACGUUGUCAUCGCAGAUUCUGAGAUGCCAUCGUCUACCCUUCAAGUUCAACCAUGUCGCCUUUACUGCUGUAGCAACACUAAGGGUGCAUCAGCGGAUUGUUCCGGAGAGCAAGGGAGACGAGAAGAAGCGCCGGUGUCAUCGCGGUCGGCUGGGAUCGAGGCAGAGGAAGCCACCAUCGUCACCUUGGAGACAGGAACUUGCGGUGGAGUGGCUCAGGAGGAGGUAGAGAAGUUAGAGAUGGACGAGCUCAACAGGAAGUUUGAGGAUUUCAUCCAAAGCAGAAGAAUUAAAUGGCUCAGGGAGGAGGAAGUAUUGCAAUGCCAACAGCAACAGAUCGUCUAA
RNAcentral lists this ribosomal RNA (690 nucleotides) under Triticum aestivum (bread wheat). RNAcentral describes it as "partial small subunit ribosomal RNA". Lineage: Eukaryota; Viridiplantae; Streptophyta; Magnoliopsida; Poales; Poaceae. The record is from RNAcentral.